Corticium candelabrum is the source of this 1134-nucleotide long non-coding RNA. RefSeq lists it as uncharacterized. The transcript has 3 exons. The record is from RefSeq and is a predicted model, not a curated record. NCBI's taxonomy places the organism in Eukaryota, Metazoa, Porifera, Homoscleromorpha, Homosclerophorida, Plakinidae.
CUCAUCUGGUUGCUCAUCUAGUACAAACUGGUGGGCUUUCCUCAUUUUGUACCAGAAAUCUUGUCAAUAGCUUCUGACUGCGAAUGACUACGUGCCAAUAUUAGUACUGAUGAGGUGUAGAGUCCCGGAUCUAAUCUCGGUCAUUUCCUAAUCUCGGUCACCGUUCUCUGCCAAAUAGCUGCAGCCAGACCUAGCUGCUACGCUAGCGCCAUAGUCCUACUGGAUAGCAACUAGGUAGAGCGGGUCAUGUCAGUAUCCGUCGUAACGUUGCUGCUGUAGAACUUGAAAGCUGAUGGCACCUAUUCUCGGUCACAGAGUAUCAUAUCUCGGUCAGUGCUUGCCAUCUCGUUUCUACAACUCCGUUUCAGAUGCAAGUCAUCUCCGUCGAUAGGCUCCUUAUAUGACUUCCUUUCGCCAAAUUGUUGGUUUUGUCUUGUCUACCUCUACUCUCGCAGACAACGAAGAAGACGGAUGACUCACGGGACAUAAUCUCGGUCACCUGAUCUCGAGUGAUUUUCUCUCUUCAGACGCAGAUAACGUGAAAUGUGAGAGACAAAUACUCUGACAUCCGGGAUCAUAUCUCGGUCAGUCGCUUUCAUCGCGUUUCUACAAGACGAAUUGAGACGUUAGUCAUGUCUGUUGAAAGGGCGGCGGGAAAGGUGAUCGACCUAUGGGACGUAAUUUCGGUCACAGUAUGAGCGCACUUGUUGGGUUCUACAGCUUUCAGGUAAGUGGUCUUACCUUCAUUGGGCAUUGUCCAUACGGUCACAGUCGACUAAGGCUGAUUGAAAGUGUUUUGUAUUGAGUUUGUAGAACUCUAGCAGAUUCUAGUAACUAGACGUGUGUUGGCAAACGUUAGUUGUCCUGUCUAUGAAUAAUAAUUAAGAUAACCUUUAUUUAGAACAUGUGGUUUAGUGCUAAUUAGCAAAUUUUGUGAGUGAUAGAUUGAUCAUCAUGGAGAUAAACAUUGAAUCUAUUCUGGCACAAGUUGAAUGUCACAAGAGUAUGCCAGGACUCUGCAUACUUGUAACCUGUGUACGUACUACAAUCUUGUUGAUUGUAAGGUUUUAGCUACAUCAGUUAUUAUCAACAACAUACACUGCUUUGCAAGUUUGAAGUGCUAAAAACAGUACG